This is a small nucleolar RNA of Tupaia belangeri (northern tree shrew), 127 nucleotides long. Lineage: Eukaryota; Metazoa; Chordata; Mammalia; Scandentia; Tupaiidae. The record is from Ensembl.
UAGGCCUGCAUCAGUGGCUUCUGUAGCUGUCGGUUUCAAACAGGAGCCAAGAGUAAUGUCUUCCUUAUGGUCUAAUGGCUAUUCACUAUCCCAUUGAGAAUAGCUAAUUUGGUUGGAAGAAACACAG